Molecule: non-coding RNA, 3205 nt
Organism: Camellia sinensis
Lineage: Eukaryota; Viridiplantae; Streptophyta; Magnoliopsida; Ericales; Theaceae
Source: RefSeq, a predicted model, not a curated record
GACCAUUUUAUUCAUAACCCACCCACCAUUUAAGACACUUGUUUAUAGCCUCCCAUCUUUGAAAUUUCUCCCUUUAUAUUAUUACAACUUUCUCAGAACUCAUAUCCAAAAGCUCUCUAACUUUCUCAGCAUCCAAACAUGGCCAAGGAAGGAGAAGCUACCCGCAAAACCAUCCCAUUUGAAGAAGGAUGGCCAGUGCUACAAGAUGCAAUCAACAAACUCAUUGACAGUUUGGAAGGAGUUUGUCCCCACACUUACACUCCUGAAGAGUAUAUGACUCUUUACACGUACUACCAUCUUUAAGGGAAAAGAAAGAUGAGGAUUUGUUACAAGAACUAGCAAAAAGAUGGAAUAACACAAGGUUAUGACUCACUGGCUCUCAAGAUUUUUUAAAUUUUUUGAUAGAUACCUCACCGCAAUCAAAAGACUACCCAAACUGCUAGAGACUAGCUUCAUGACCUUCUAUGAACUGGUUGGUAAUGCUACUAAUUAUAUUUUUUUUGACACAGAAUUAAAGGGUUACUUAGACUUAUAUGUGCUUGAAUUAUAAAUUUAAAUAGAAAUUUGAAAAGGAGAAAGAAAAAGAUGAGGGAAAUAUAAGGUUUACGGGGAAAUGAAUGAUCAAGUGAGGGAUGUUGUAAUAUCUAUGGUAUGUUUUGUUUCAUAAUAUUUUGAAAUGAAUGUAAUUGUAUCCUCAUUGUAGUUAACAAGGCUAAUUGUCUUCUUUUUCUUUUCUUUUUUUCUUCUCCCCCUUACACCUCACCAAAUUUAGCCUUCAUGAUUGCCUUUUUUUUGUCCCUCACGACUUUGUCUUUCACCUAACUAAUUCUCCCAAUACAUGUAACCCGUCUAUCUCACAUAUAUCAGGUAAUUAUCGGAUCUAAGUCUUGGGAUGACCUCAAGGAAACGUGGAGAAUGAAACUUUUAACCAUUAGUCUACCUUGAUGUUUGAAUCUCUAACUUUUCAUAUAAGAGUCGCAAGUCUCAGUACAAUUUAAAUCCUUACUUUUUACUUGAUUUUGGUUGGGAAGGUUCACUUACCCAUCCUUUAAGUUGUAUUUAAAUUUUAAAUUUGAUUAGAAAUUUUGUAAAGGAAAAAGAAAAAAAGGGACAAAAAAAAAGAAUUUCAUUUACAAAUUCAAAAUUCAAACAUCACCACCACCACCACCCAUUGAAAAAGAGUUUAACAAAGUAAAUGGUUUGGCGAGAUUGAUUUGUCAAUGUCAUACCUUAUUCAAUCCGGUUGAUUAAUACUAUUUAUUAAAUGGUUGUUGGAUUAAAUUAUCUUAAUAUAUAAACAGUUUUGACCCAUCCAUGUGAUAUCUUUCGGAUUGAUCAAGAGCGCGAAGGACAGAUUGAUCAAGCAUUAGUGAAGAAUGUUUUGGACAUCUACACAGAGAUGGAAGAGGGCUCUAUUGAACACACAAUUGUUCCUGAGCUUCCAAAUUGACUACAAAACAACAAAUGUUAAGGCAUUCCAUAUUUGGAGUUCCUUCUUCCUGAUUCUAGUGCCAAUCCACCAAUCAAAUAAAUCCACCACAGAGCCUGGGCAUACCCAGUAUAAACCCCACAGAGUUUCUUGUUACUUGCAACACACAAGCCAACAUAAGUUGUUGGAGGUCUUUGCAGCUUCAAAACCUUGUGCAAAAAUUACUAUUAUAAUUUUUUUUUCCUUUUUAUUCUCUAAAUCACAUGAGAAUGGAAUUUAAGAACUUGUUUAUUAGAAAAUCCUAUUCUUUCAAAAGUUUUACACAUAAUUAUAAUUAUCUAUUAAAAUGAUACGACAACAAUAUUUUUAUAAUUGACACAUUUUGAUGGUUUAUUUUUUUGUUUUUUUUUUUUAAAUGAUGCACCCACAACUUAACAAUAUCAUUCUGUAUAAUAUUUUGUUUGUAAAGGUAACAAUAUACAAAUAAAAUUUAUAUAGACAAUGAUGUGUCGUGUACAUAUAUUCACUCUUUAAAGUAAAGAAAUUCAUCAUUUUAGUUCAUAAUUAUAAAAAUGUCAUUGUCACAUUAUUUUAUACAAAAAAAAAUAAAAAAUUAAAUGUUACCAAUAUAAUUUCAUUGAAAUUUAAUUUGAAGCUGCAUGUUGUUUCUCAUUCUCAAUUCUUGUUUUUUAUCACAGGUUGUAGAACAUGAAUUGCUCUUUGUAUUUGCAGAGAAAAAACAACUUGAUAGUGAGGCUGCAUAAAUUGAUGAGUGGGCCAUCUAUUUCUUUCCUUUUAUUAUUUAUUUAUUUAUUUCUUAUUCCCUUUUUACUUUGAUGGGUGAUAUUGAGAAUUGUUUAUGGCAUUGAAGGACUAAAGUACAAUAAAACCAAAAUUUCUUGAAGCUUUAAAGCACAAAGUGCAAACAACAAUGUAAUAAAUAAAUACACAAUUGUGCAAUUUUAUAUGUAAUUUAUGUCAUUUUAGCUGCGUCUUGAUUUGUAUUAUUUGAUUUAGCUGAUUUUUAGAGUAGGUUUUGUGCGGUGGUAAAGUUGCUAUUAAAAUAAUAUUGUACUCAUGUUCAAAUGUAUUAAAAAUCUAAUAAAUUUUACUAAAUUAUCAUAGUCAUCUUGAGUGAUACAAUUAGCAUAGCAAUUUAACUAAUUUUUACUCUAUUUUAUUUUAUUGAAUCAAUGGGGUUAAUAUUUUAAAUAAUGAGUGUAACAUUUUGAUCAAUUUAAUGUUAAUAAAGAUUAAUAUUUUUUUAAAAAAUUAUUAAUUUUUCGUAUCAUCUUAUAUUUUAUCAUUGUAAUGAAUCUCACUAUUUAUAUCUACUAUUCAUAUAACAAUGACAUGUGUAAUGGACAGAUCUAGAGAGAUAAGGCAUCAUCAUCCUUUCUCUACCUCGACCCUCACCUGUGACGAAGUUUGCCUCUAUCCCCAUCUCCAUCAUCGCUGCCAUCUCCGAUGAUCUUAGAUCGAUCGAGAUCUCAAAUCGAACAUCCAACAACCUGUUAUGGACAGAUCUAGAGAUAAGAGAUCUAGAUAAAUCGGCAGAUCAAUAAAUUGUCGAGCGAAGCAUAACCAGCAUUUGAAAUAGAGGUUUAUACCCCUUCGAACUAGGGUUUGAAUCGACAGAUUUGUGUGUGUAUGUUCUUGAACUAGUGUCCUUCAAGUGCAUUCUUUGUCUUCAUGUGAGAUUUUACGUCACAUUUUCGUAUUGAUCAAUUUUCUCUUUGUAUGGUGAUACUUUCUAUUGCAUUUGUUGUUUGUUGA